Molecule: ribosomal RNA, 394 nt
Filed under: uncultured bacterium
Lineage: Bacteria
Description: partial 16S ribosomal RNA
Rfam family: Bacterial small subunit ribosomal RNA
Source: RNAcentral
AUACGUAGGGGGCUAGCGUUAUCCGGAAUUACUGGGCGUAAAGGGUGCGUAGGUGGUUUCUUAAGUCAGAAGUGAAAGGCUACGGCUCAACCGUAGUAAGCUUUUGAAACUAAGAGACUUGAGUGCAGGAGAGGAGAGUAGAAUUCCUAGUGUAGCGGUGAAAUGCGUAGAUAUUAGGAGGAAUACCAGUUGCGAAGGCGGCUCGCUGGACUGUAACUGACACGGAGGCACGAAAGCGUGGGGAGCAAACAGGAUUAGAUACCCUGGUAGUCCACGCCGUAAACGAUGAGUACUAGCUGUCGGGGGUUACCCCCCUCGGUGGCGCAGCUAACGCAUUAAGUACUCCGCCUGGGAAGUACGCUCGCAAGAGUGAAACUCAAAUGAAUUGACGGGG